This 433-nucleotide ribosomal RNA is filed under the name uncultured bacterium. Its description in RNAcentral is "partial 16S ribosomal RNA". It matches the Rfam family "Bacterial small subunit ribosomal RNA", at positions 29 to 507 of the family's 1533-position model. The record is from RNAcentral.
AACGAACGCUGGCGGCAUGCCUAACACAUGCAAGUCGAACGAGACCUUCAGGUCUAGUGGCGCACGGGUUCGUAACGCGUGGGAACCUGCCCUUAUGUUCGGAAUAACUCCCCGAAAGGGGUGCUAAUACCGGAUAAUGUCUUCUGACCAAAGAUUUAUCGCCUUUGGAUGGUCCCGCGUUGGAUUAGCUAGUUGGUAGGGUAAAAGCCUACCAAGGCGACGAUCCCUAGCUGGUCUGAGAGGAUGGUCAGCCACACUGGGACUGAGAAACGGCCCAGACUCUUACGGGAGGCAGGAGUGGGGAAUAGUGGAACACGGGCGAAAGCAUGAUGCAGCAAUGACGGGUGAGUGCUGAAGGCCUUAGGGUUGUAAAGCGCUUUUAACCGGGAUGAUAAUGACAGUACCGGGAGAAUAAGCUCCGGCUAACUACGUG